GGAAGAAGCCUUCCUCGGCCUGGUGUUCUCCGAGAGGGUGGCGACUACAGCCCCCUCCCCCUAGGGAAUUUUGGGAGUUGUAGUUCCACUUUGCCUGGAAGGCUGGUUCCUCCCAUGCCGAGAAUCGAAGUUUUUGGCUGACAAGGAAUGAUCCCCGGGUCUCUCACAAAGUAGCCCAGCUGGCGAAUCUUCCAUCAUUCUUGUUUGACUUUUGACACCAAUACUAAAAGAAUCUUUGCCUUAUGAGUGUGAUCUUGAGCAAGUCACUCGAAGGAUGAGUGUGACUCUGCCUGGAAAACAUUGCACCUGCCUGUAUGAAAACUGGACAAUGAGAGGAGCUGUUCCCAGACAAACAUAUCUAAAGAAUGGGUUCCACUGUUUAGGUCAGCUGAUCAGAUUGGUGGUACCAGGAAAUCCACAGUGUGUUUCCCAGCUGAGCUGCAAUAGAAGAAGCGGGCAGAGUUCUUGGAGUCAGACUUUUUCUGAGAGGGGAGCAAGGCCAGCAGAAUAACAUUUUAUCAGCGCCAUGAAUCCUGACAUAGGGAGCCCUGAAAACGUAACCCUAAAAGAAGAUGCUUGCCUGGAGAGCUGCAAGAAAUUACCUCAUGUGGAUCCCUGCAGGAACUUUACCAAAUCUACUGGAUUUGGAUUACAAUAAAACUGGA
Molecule: long non-coding RNA, 665 nt
Organism: Python bivittatus (Burmese python)
Lineage: Eukaryota; Metazoa; Chordata; Lepidosauria; Squamata; Pythonidae
Source: RefSeq, a predicted model, not a curated record